This 434-nucleotide unclassified non-coding RNA is filed under the name Utricularia monanthos. RNAcentral's name for it is "partial external transcribed spacer". The stretch from base 384 to 434 matches the Rfam family "Eukaryotic small subunit ribosomal RNA", at positions 1 to 51 of the family's 1831-position model. Lineage: Eukaryota; Viridiplantae; Streptophyta; Magnoliopsida; Lamiales; Lentibulariaceae. The record is from RNAcentral.
CUAUGCUCGGAGGUAUUCGAAUCCCCCGGUCGGAUUUUGUUGCUUGUGCCUCGUACCUCAGUGUCGGCAUCAGCAUUGUCCCAAAGAACGGCCAGUUGUCCCAGUUUUCGUGUCUCGGUGCUCAUGUGUCCCUGUCACGGGGCUGGCUUGGAAACAUCGAUAGCGCUCGCUCAUCUACUACUAACGUUGUCGCGGGCGUGGCGUUAUCGAUGUUCGAUCUCUCGUGCGCGGAAUGCCCGUCGGCGCGGUGGUUCACCGAACCCCGCUAUUUAGACCCUCGAUGAAAAGUCGUCCGAUGCAAUCUUGAGCGACCAUCGUGCCUGCGAAUGUGUUUGCCGCCGAGAAGGCGCAGCGCAUGCAGUGCCGAUGUCGUACGGGAACGCUACCUGGUUGAUCCUGCCAGUAGUCAUAUGCUUGUCUCAAAGAUUAAGCCA